UCAAUAAGCGGAGGAAAAGAAACUAACAAGGAUUCCCCUAGUAACGGCGAGUGAAGCGGGAUGAGCUCAAAUUUGUAAUCUGGCGGUCUCUGGCCGUCCGAGUUGUAGUCUGGAGAAGCGUUUUCCGUGCUGGACCGUGUACAAGUCCCUUGGAACAGGGCGUCGUAGAGGGUGAGAAUCCCGUCUCUGACACGGACCGCCGGUGCUCUGUGAUGCGCUCUCGAAGAGUCGAGUUGUUUGGGAAUGCAGCUCAAAAUGGGUGGUAAAUUCCAUCUAAAGCUAAAUAUUGGCGAAAGACCGAUAGCGAACAAGUACCGUGAGGGAAAGAUGAAAAGCACUUUGGAAAGAGAGUUAAACAGUACGUGAAAUUGUUGAAAGGGAAACGCUUGAAGUCAGUCGCGUCUUCCGAGAUUCAGCUGGGGUACUCUUCCCCGGUGUAUUUCUCGGUGUCGACGGGCCAGCAUCGAUUUUGACCGUUCGAGAAAGGCUUUGGGAACGUGGCACCCCUCCGGGGGUGUGUUAUAAGCCCUCUGUCGUAUGGGACGGUCGGGAUCGAGGACCGCAGCGUGCCCUUCACCGGGCCGGGGUUCGCCCACGUAACGCGCUUAGGAUGUUGGCUUAAUGGCUUUAA
Molecule: ribosomal RNA, 631 nt
Filed under: Hysterangium clathroides
Lineage: Eukaryota; Fungi; Basidiomycota; Agaricomycetes; Hysterangiales; Hysterangiaceae
Description: eukaryotic LSU rRNA
Rfam family: Eukaryotic large subunit ribosomal RNA
Source: RNAcentral